This 1156-nucleotide long non-coding RNA is filed under the name Cyanistes caeruleus (blue tit). Its description in RNAcentral is "lncRNA (ENSCCEG00000005916.1)". Lineage: Eukaryota; Metazoa; Chordata; Aves; Passeriformes; Paridae. The record is from RNAcentral.
AAAUUCGGGAGUUUGAGGAUAGGGAGGACACAUGAGACCAGCGUGCCUUUGGUUUGUUCGGUCCUGAAAGUGGAAUAUUACUAAGGAAGAUUUCUGAAGGAUAGCAAAAUAAGUCUGAUUCAGGAGAGGAAACAUAGAUGUGAAGUUUGAUGAUUUCCACACAGAACUGUCUUGGGGCAGUCUGGAUUUAUGGGCUAAAGUCUGCAGGUGCUCCUGCUGAUUCAGACAGUGACAUACUGCUGAAAUUGCGAUAGCAGUGAUACCUGUUACUGUGCACGCUGCAUGAAUCAAGUGGCUGAACUGCCUCCUGAUACAAUCAGCGCUUUCAGUUUACUCCAUCUGUAUAUGCAGUACAAGUUCCUGUUUAUUUCACAGCGUGUGUUUGUAUAAUCAGUGUUCACAUCUUCGGUUCGCGUGCUUUGUCCUGAAGGACAAGCCACAGGGCAGAUGGUCAAGGAAAUGAAUGCGACUUUACUGUGUGAUGGGUGCUGGGACACUCUUGAUGCACUUGUGUGCGUGGGGAUGGUUCCCGUUCACUGCGUGAACCUGUGACCCAAAACAGCGUCCCGGCUGGAAUGUGCAGGCGGUGCAGACGCUGCUGCCACCCACGGCUCUUACGGGACAUUGCCCUGAGUGCAGUGGAAAGGUUGAGACUACUUUGCUGCCAGGUACCGGCUUCCAUGUGCAAGAUAAAUGAGGAGCUCAGUGUGGGACCCUUAAAGCAGAUUGAGACAUAGACUUUGGCUAUAUUUUUCACACCUGCGUGAAGCUAGAAGUCCAAGCGGAUGCCUGUGCCGCCGCCGCCACCUCCUCCUCCGCCACCUCCACCACCACCACCACCUUCUGGAGGGCCCCCUCCACCACCACCUUCUGGAGGGCCCCCUCCACCACCACCACUGGUAAGACUGACUUUUCAUUUCUAUGAGCUGCAGUUAGCCAGCUAGGAGCCCAAAAAGGAUUUUGGCAUGGAUAUUCAUAGGAGAUAUCUGGGGCAGAUGUUUGUUUUGCUGGCACUGGUUCUUCUGUUUAUUACAGCAGUGGUCUCCAAAGUGGGGUGUGUGAGAUGAUCCAUUGGUGUGUGGGAUGAAAAUACUGGAACUUCAGUUAUACAUAUGUAUACUUUAUAAAGAAAUAAACCUAUGUAUAUUGGCGUGCA